GGGACAAAGGCAGAAGGGGAAAAGAAAAGCGGAGGAAAAAAAAGAAAGAAAGAAAGGAAGAAAACGCAAACGGCGGUUACUGACAGGCUGGGCGAGCGCUCGGGGGCUCAAACUGCCUGGAGACAGGCGGGGCUCCUGCUGAGGCUUGGUCCGCCCGGACGAGUAAGGAGAGGAGCCAGGGAGGACCUGCUGGCGUGAGACGCCUCUGCCCGGUAGAAGAUACUGGAAGAUCAACUCUAAUUUGUGGCUGCCUUCCCAGCAGUCUCUACUUCAGCAUAUCUGGGAGCCAGAAGCACUCAAGUUUGAUAACUCAAAAGACAGAACAAUCAGUCAAGGGGAUGGAUGAAAUAUUUCUUCUGUGCUCUGAAUAUAGGGUAUGAUCUCAGAGCUCUCUGUGCCAGCAGAAUCAGUCUGAAACUCAGCCAGAAGUUCUUCGUGAUUAAAGGUGCCAUCUGAGCGCACAAUAUUUUUUUAAAAGCCUUGCAAAAUGGGGCCGGGCACGGUGGCUCAUGCCUGUAAUCCCAGCACUUUGGGAGGCUGAGGUGGGCAGAUCACGAGGUCGGGAGUUUGAGACCAGCCUGGCCCACGUGGUGAAACUCCAUCUAUACUAAAAAUAAAAAAACUAGCUGGGCAUGUUGGCAGGCGCUUGUAAUCCCAGCUACUCGGGAGGCUGAGGCAGGAGAAUCAUUUGAAUGCAGGAGGCAGAGGUUGCAGUGAGCCGACAUCACGCCAUUGCACUCCAGCCUGGACGACAGGGCGAGAC
Molecule: long non-coding RNA, 763 nt
Filed under: Pan troglodytes (chimpanzee)
Lineage: Eukaryota; Metazoa; Chordata; Mammalia; Primates; Hominidae
Description: long non-coding RNA NONPTRT000237
Source: RNAcentral